This 434-nucleotide ribosomal RNA is filed under the name uncultured bacterium. RNAcentral's name for it is "partial 16S ribosomal RNA". It matches the Rfam family "Bacterial small subunit ribosomal RNA", at positions 29 to 507 of the family's 1533-position model. The record is from RNAcentral.
AGCGAACGCUGGCGGCAGGCCUAACACGUGCAAGUCGAACGAACCUUUCGGGGUUAGUGGCGGACGGGUGAGUAACACGUGGGAACGUGCCUUUAGGUUCGGAAUAACUCAGGGAAACUUGUGCUAAUUCCGAAUGUGCCCUUCGGGGGAAAGAUUUAUCGCCUUUAGAGCGGCCCGCGUCUGAUUAGCUAGUUGGUUGAGGUAAUGGCUCACCAAGGCGACGAUCAGUAGCUGGUCUGAGAAGAUGAUCAGCCACAUUGGGACUGAGACACGGCCCAAACUCCUACGGGAGGCAGCAGUGGGGAGUCUUGCGCAAUGGGCGAAAGCCUGACGCAGCCAUGCCGCGUGAAUGAUGAAGGUCUUAGGAUUGUAAAAUUCUUUCACCGGGGACGAUAAUGACGGUACCCGGAGAAGAAGCCCCGGCUAACUUCGUG